GGUCCAGACUCCUACGGGAGGCAGCAGUGGGGGAUAUUGCACAAUGGGGGGAACCCUGAUGCAGCGACGCCGCGUGGGUGAAGAAGCGCCUCGGCGCGUAAAGCCCUGUCAGCAGGGAAGAAAAUGACGGUACCUGAAGAAGAAGCCCCGGCUAACUACGUGCCAGCAGCCGCGGUAAUACGUAGGGGGCAAGCGUUAUCCGGAUUUACUGGGUGUAAAGGGAGCGUAGACGGCUGGUCAAGUCUGAAGUGAAAGCCCGGGGCUUAACCCCGGAACGGCUUUGGAAACUGAGCAGCUAGAGUGCUGGAGAGGUAAGCGGAAUUCCUAGUGUAGCGGUGAAAUGCGUAGAUAUACGGAGGAACACCAGUGGCGAAGGCGGAUUGCUGGACAGUAACUGACGCUGAGGCGCGAAAGCGUGGGGAGCAAACAGGAUUAGAUACCCCAGUAAC
RNAcentral lists this ribosomal RNA (449 nucleotides) under uncultured bacterium. Its description in RNAcentral is "bacterial SSU rRNA". It matches the Rfam family "Bacterial small subunit ribosomal RNA", at positions 328 to 794 of the family's 1533-position model. The record is from RNAcentral.